AGAGUUUGAUCAUGGCUCAGGACGAACGCUGGCGGCGUGCUUCAGACAUGCAAGUCGAGCGGGCGGAGGCCGAACCGCAAGGGGAGGCUGAAGCUAGCGGCGAACGGGUGAGUAACACGUGGGUAAUCUGCCCGGAAGACUGGGAUAACGGUCCGAAAGGGCCGCUAAUACCGGAUAAUGUCGUUUUUCCGCAUGGGGAGACGAAGAAAGGCUUCGGUCACUUUCGGAUGAGCCCGCGACCCAUCAGCUAGUUGGUGAGGUAAAGGCUCACCAAGGCGACGACGGGUAGCCGGUCUGAGAGGAUGGUCGGCCACACUGGGACUGAGAUACGGCCCAGACUCCUACGGGAGGCAGCAGUCGGGAAUAUUGGGCAAUGGGCGAAAGCCUGACCCAGCGACGCCGCGUGAGGGAAGAAGGCCUUCGGGUCGUAAACCUCUGUCAUCGGGGACGAAGGAAGUGACGGUACCCGAGGAGGAAGCCCCUGCUAACUACGUGCCAGCAGCCGCGGUAAUACGUAGGGGGCGAGCGUUGUCCGGAGUUAUUGGGCGUAAAGGGCGUGUAGGCGGCCUGUUAAGUCAGGUGUGAAAUUUCAGGGCUUAACCCUGAAACUGCGUUUGAAACUGGCAGGCUUGAGGACAGGAGAGGGAAGUGGAAUUCCCGGUGUAGCGGUGGAAUGCGUAGAUAUCGGGAGGAACACCAGUGGCGAAGGCGGCUUCCUGGACUGUACCUGACGCUGAGGCGCGAAAGCUAGGGGAGCAAACAGGAUUAGAUACCCUGGUAGUCCUAGCCGUAAACGAUGAGUGCUAGGUGUGGGAGGUUAAAAUCCUUCCGUGCCGGAGUUAACGCAAUAAGCACUCCGCCUGGGGAGUACGGCCGCAAGGCUAAAACUCAAAGGAAUUGACGG
RNAcentral lists this ribosomal RNA (904 nucleotides) under uncultured bacterium. RNAcentral's name for it is "bacterial SSU rRNA". It matches the Rfam family "Bacterial small subunit ribosomal RNA", at positions 8 to 916 of the family's 1533-position model. The record is from RNAcentral.